Camelus dromedarius (Arabian camel) is the source of this 1164-nucleotide long non-coding RNA. RefSeq lists it as uncharacterized. The transcript has 3 exons. The record is from RefSeq and is a predicted model, not a curated record. Lineage: Eukaryota; Metazoa; Chordata; Mammalia; Artiodactyla; Camelidae.
UCUCAUCCCUGGAAACCUAAAUUCCUGUCUCUGGAGUGAGCCACCUCCGCCUCCUCCACGAGCCCUCCUGGGCACUGCAGCCUCAUUCGCCUGGUCGCCGGUCGGGUCAGCACGGACACUGGCCAGCGGGGGAGCCAGCAGGGGAAAAGCUCUGCCUUUUUUCUCUGACAGCAACUUUACCGAGAUAUCAUCCACAGACCACAAGCUUCAUCCUUUACAAGGGAAUCAUUCAGUGGUUUUUAAUAUAUUCACAGGAUUGUGUAACCAUCAGCACCAUCUAAUUUUAGAACAUUUUCAUUACUCCAAAAAGAAACCCUGUCCCCAUGGGCAGUUACUUCCUGUUGAGGCUGUCCCAGCCCCUGACCACUCCUGUCUCCAUGCAUUUGCCUUUUCUGGACAUUCUGCGCGACUGCAAUCGAACGGGGUCUUUUGUGAUCGCCGUCUUUCACUCAGCAUCCCGUUUUCAGGGUUUGUUCAUGUUGUGCUGUGUGUCAGGACCUCAUUCCUUUUUAUUGCCAAGGAAUUUUCCAUUGUGUGCAUGGACCUUAUUUCGUUUACCCAUUUAUUGGUUGAGAGACACUUCGGUGGCUUCUACUUUUUGGGUGUUGCAAAUACUGCUGCUGUGAACACUGUGUACAAGUGUUUGUGCACAAAUAUCCUCGGUUCUGUUGCACACAUGCUUAGGAGAGGAACUGCUGGACUGUAUGGUGACUCUGUGCCUGCCCUGUUGAGGAACCUCCAGACUGCGGUCCACAGCAGCUGCGCCAUUUCACAUCCCCACCAGCCUGUAGCUUGUCAGCACCUGCCUUCGCCUGUUUCUUUGUACGACGGUCGUCCUGCUGCGUGUGAAGUGCUGUCUCCCUUCGGUUCUGAUCUGCGUUUCCCUCACGCCUGAUGAUACCCUCCAGUACACUGUUGAGCAGCAAUGGAGAGAGUGGGCACCCUCGUCUUGUUCCUGAUCUUGGGGGAAGCGCUCAGCCUUCCACCACUAAGGGUGGUGUCAGCUGUGGGCUUCCAUAGAUGCCCCUUAUCAGGGUCGUGGCACUGUCACUGUGACCUAGCAAAAUGAACAGCCCCUUUACGUCACCUGAUGCUCCAGGCCGCGUGCAGGUUUCCCGCGUUGUCUGAAAAACCCCUUUCUACAGAGGGCUCGUUUGAAUCGAC